This 45-nucleotide non-coding RNA is filed under the name Echinostoma caproni. The record is from RNAcentral. Lineage: Eukaryota; Metazoa; Platyhelminthes; Trematoda; Plagiorchiida; Echinostomatidae.
GCACUGCUGACGAGUCUCAAACAGGACGAAACAGCUGUACAGUGA